GUAAAUAAUAAACAUAUAUAUAUAUGUGUGUGUGUGUGUGUGUGUGUAUAUAUAUAUAUACACACACACACACACAUAUAUAUAUAUAUAUGAGGGUA
Molecule: non-coding RNA, 98 nt
Organism: Podarcis lilfordi (Lilford's wall lizard)
Lineage: Eukaryota; Metazoa; Chordata; Lepidosauria; Squamata; Lacertidae
Source: the annotation of a GenBank genome assembly